Molecule: transfer RNA, 71 nt
Filed under: Pseudomonadales bacterium
Lineage: Bacteria; Pseudomonadati; Pseudomonadota; Gammaproteobacteria; Pseudomonadales
Description: tRNA-Gln
Rfam family: tRNA
About the family: Transfer RNA (tRNA) molecules are approximately 80 nucleotides in length.
Source: RNAcentral
UCGGGCGUCGUCCAAUGGCAGGACACCGGCCUUUGAAGCCGGCAAUCCAGGUUCGAGUCCUGGUGCCCGAA